CCUGGCUCAGAACGAACGCUGGCGGCAGGCUUAACACAUGCAAGUCGAACGCACCGCAAGGUGAGUGGCAGACGGGUGAGUAACGCGUGGGAACCUUCCCUUUGGUACGGAAUAACUUCGGGAAACCGAAGCUAAUACCGUAUAUCUCCUCCGGGAGAAAGAUUUAUCGCCAAAGGAUGGGCCCGCGUUGGAUUAGCUAGUUGGUAGGGUAAGGCCUACCAAGGCAACGAUCCAUAGCUGGUCUGAGAGGAUGAUCAGCCACACUGGGACUGAGACACGGCCCAGACUCCUACGGGAGGCAGCAGUGGGGAAUAUUGGACAAUGGGCGAAAGCCUGAUCCAGCCAUGCCGCGUGAGUGAAGAAGGCCUUAGGGUUGUAAAGCUCUUUGGCGGGGACGAUAAUGACGGUACCCGCAGAAUAAGCCCCGGCUAACUUCGUGCCAGCCGCUGC
This 450-nucleotide ribosomal RNA is filed under the name uncultured bacterium. RNAcentral's name for it is "bacterial SSU rRNA". It matches the Rfam family "Bacterial small subunit ribosomal RNA", at positions 18 to 518 of the family's 1533-position model. The record is from RNAcentral.